UACGGGGGGGGCAAGCGUUGUUCGGAAUUACUGGGCGUAAAGGGCUCGUAGGCGGCCAACUAAGUCAUACGUGAAAUCCCUCGGCUUAACCGGGGAACUGCGUCUGAUACUGGAUGGCUUGAGUUCGGGAGAGGGAUGCGGAAUUCCAGGUGUAGCGGUGAAAUGCGUAGAUAUCAGGAGGAACACCGGUGGCGAAGGCGGGUCUCUGGGCAGUAACUGACGCUGAGGAGCGAAAGCGUGGGGAGCGAACAGG
This 253-nucleotide ribosomal RNA is filed under the name uncultured bacterium. Its description in RNAcentral is "partial 16S ribosomal RNA". It matches the Rfam family "Bacterial small subunit ribosomal RNA", at positions 524 to 776 of the family's 1533-position model. The record is from RNAcentral.